GGACUACCGGGGUAUCUAAUCCCGUUUGCUCCCCUGGCCUUCGUGCCUCAGCGUCAGGAACUGUCCAGAGACCCGCCUUCGCCACUGGUCUUCCUUACGAUAUCUACGCAUUUCACCGCUACACCGUAAAUUCCAGUCUCCUCUCCAGUCCUCAAGCACGGCAGUAUCGAAUGCAGUUUCGGAGUUAAGCUCCGAGAUUUCACACCCGACUUACCGCGCCGCCUACGCACCCUUUACGCCCAAUGAAUCCGAACAACGCUUGAGACCUCUGUAUUACCGCGGCUGCUGGCAC
This 292-nucleotide ribosomal RNA is filed under the name uncultured Verrucomicrobiota bacterium. Its description in RNAcentral is "uncultured Verrucomicrobia bacterium partial 16S ribosomal RNA". The record is from RNAcentral. Lineage: Bacteria; Pseudomonadati; Verrucomicrobiota.